Molecule: long non-coding RNA, 216 nt
Filed under: Mytilus galloprovincialis (Mediterranean mussel)
Lineage: Eukaryota; Metazoa; Mollusca; Bivalvia; Mytilida; Mytilidae
Source: RNAcentral
UGCGUUUUUUAGGUUUAAAACUGAGACAGAACGUUGAGAAUGUCGUUGAGAGCAGUGGUGUAGGAGAAAACAAUGUGUUGAGAUCUUUGGCAGGAAAGAUGGCUUUGUACAUAGUGGAUUCGAAAAGUGAAAAUACGUCAAAGAAGUACUUCGCCGGAUUUAAUCGUUGGAAGUCAUUCAUUAAUGAACAUGGUUUUUCUGAUUUACCAGCCGAAC